This 2955-nucleotide long non-coding RNA is filed under the name Macaca mulatta (Rhesus monkey). RNAcentral's name for it is "lncRNA (ENSMMUG00000065036.1)". The record is from RNAcentral. Lineage: Eukaryota; Metazoa; Chordata; Mammalia; Primates; Cercopithecidae.
AUGAAGGCUAUUUUUGAAGAAUUAAUUUUCCUCACGUUUAAACUUGUUUUCCUGUUAGAGAUACAACCUAACCAGCUACCCAGUUCUUUGUGCCAUGAAACUCCUUCAGAAUAUCUGGUUUAUUUUACUGAGAGUGCUGCAUCUAAAUCACUUCUCCAAAGUUACCAGGAGAGGACUCUAAGGUCACACCCGCCCCAGAUGGUCUUGACAAAUGUGAACACUGAAUGCUUGUUGAAGCUCAAGCAUCUAACAUGAAUUUAAGGCAGGAAGAAAGAGAGAGGUGAGUGCCUGAUACCUCCAUUUUAUAAGAAGAACAAAAGCUGAAUCAAAAGUCGCCUGGGAGAUUCUGCUUGUGUAUCACACUUGGGCCAGAGCUGGGCCAUAUAGCCACUCCCACCUGCAAAAGAGCUGGGAAGUAAGUCCUAUAUUUGGUUUUCCAACCUCUAUACUGGAAAACAGCAAUGGAAAAUGCUGUAACAAAUCCACAGCCUCUGACACAAGUGGGAAAAUGGAAGAUAAGGGGAUGGGUCAUGACUAUGCUGCCGUGUUCUUGAUGCUGGUUUGAAGAUAUGCCCCAGGAAUAGCAUAGCAGUAAGGAUGACCUAGAGGUUCUGCAUUGAGAAGCCCCAUGCCAAAAGGAGGCCUGGGUCCCCAAAUGUUACAGUUGUUAGUCACCAGCAACUUUGGUUCACCCAUAGCCACUUGCCCAGAGUACAAAUGUGCCCUGAAUCUGGGUUGAAGCAGUUCCAGCAUCUGCCAUCUCUUGACUCGGGAUUGCUGUUGCUCUUCUCUAUAGCUCAGUGCUGGGUCCAUUUAACAAUUCUAGUACCUUUCUAUCCUCAAGGUUUAUUUUAGGGAGCCCCUUGUCCUUCCCUGCCCCUGAGCAUUGUUCGGGGACACUCUGGCCCACUGAGAAGUUGUCCCAAAGCCCAGGGAUCCUUGUCCAAAUCACUUCACCCCUUCUUAGAAUUGUGAAUACCCAAGGGUAUUAGAAAAGGGUAUAUAACCUUUGCUAUAAGCAGAGAAUCUUGGCUUACAUUUGCUUAACAUAUAAAAACAAUUCAAAUGACUCUUCAAAGAACAAGGACAAUCACCCAAAGUGACUCCCUUUAUUGCCUACUUGGUUACCAGAGAAGUUGAGUUCAACUUUUCCCACUUAAAGGAAAAAAAAUCUGGCUACACGAAAAAUUAGAAAAUGUGCAGUUAUUGCAGUAUUGGCAAGUGGCAUAAUUGAUUCUCUGAGAUUUCAUGCCACACAUCUUUAGAUCACAUCAUUCAUUCACUUACAUUCAUUCCUUCAACCAACCAACAUCUGUGAUGCCUAUUAAGUGCCAGCCCCUGAGCUAAGUGCUGUGAACAUAAAGUCAGAUAAGGAAUGGACCAUUACCCUCAGGACCUUAGCAUCUAGUGUGUGGGAGAGACAUGGAAAUCACUUUUGCCUGUUGUUAUAAGUGCUAAGGCAAAGGGUGGCCCGGGAUUGUGGGGAAUCCUGGAGGAGGAGCAGCUAAAUUAGUCUGGGGCCAGGAAACCUUCCUGGGGAGAGGAUGCUUAAGCUGAAUUUUGGAGUGUGAGUAGAAUUUACUGAAGGAAUUUCCAGGGAGAGGAAAGAGCCUGGGUGAUGACAUGCAGACCUCGAACAGCCUGGCGCAUGGGGAAACAAGAGCACUAGUUCCAUUCGGAGUGAAGAGUGUUCGAAGAAAAGACAUCCAGGAGGCCAGAGAGGAACAGGAGCCAGAUACAGCAAAGUGUUGUUGAACUAGUGAGCUUGAACUCUGGACUGUAGGUUAUGAAUUCAGGUUACAAGCCUAUUCAGUUGUUCCUCACCCAUUCCCAAGAGUAAAAAAGUAAACUUCAAGUGUUUCUAUUUUGAUGAAAGAGGAAAAUUAAACAUCUAUGAUAGAUUACCUUAAACGCAUGGUCUCCCUAAAAUGGUAAUUACAAUCAUUUUAGAGUAAGAAUCCCUUUCUACCAGCCCCUUUGCUUACAUUAACGUAAGUAGGUUAAGCCCUCUGAGGGAUUAAAAAUUGUAGGUGAAUGUUUUACCCUGGAAAUUACAAUGAAUCACAUACUCUCUAGGGCCAAAGUCAUUUCCUGAAAUAAUUUUUCCAGACUAUUAGAGUACAAUUUAUUCCCCUGCAAUAUAAAUUGCACAAAAUGGGAACCGAGUUAGUAAACCUCCCUUAGCAUCUCAAUUACUAUGGUUCCAGGAAACAACUUGGGUAUGGGAAGGAGGCAGACCAAUACCAAUAUGUGCACAUCCAUUUCUUUUCUUUAGUUUGGCUUCAAAGUCUUCCAGUGUUUCUCUGCUUUCCUAGAAGACUGGGACUUUGAGAAGCAGAUUCCCACAGUAAAGUCUUAAUGUAAUUCAAGAAGUCAGAAAGAGUGAAAUUAUUUCGAUGUUUGUUAUUCUAAAGUCUUGUGAAAACAUUUUGUCUUUCAGUUUCAAAACUCCUUUAUGUGUUUUUAAAAUCGUGUUCUGGUACACUCUGAGAGUUUAUACUAUGAGCAUUUCAGAAGAUAGUCAGUAUUGAUAUGUUUAUAUCACAUCCUGUGUGUGAUAGUUGCUGCAGACAUGAUUGAUAAGUUUAUUUUACUCUAAACUUUACAAAAAUAUUGAUUCAUACUACCUUGUAUUAUAUUCAGUUUUCCCAUUUAUAAAGCUCUUUCCUAUACAUUGUUUAGUUUUCACAAUAUCACUAUAAAAUAGACUCAGUAUUUUACAAGCUAGGAACAAAACCAAGAGGUUAUGGCACAUAGGGCUGGGCACGGUGGCUCACACCUAUAAUCCCAGCACUUUUGGGGGUCAAGGCAGAGGAUUACUUGAGGUCAGGAGUUCAAGACCAGCCUGGCCAACAUGGCGAAACCCUGUCUCUACUAAAAAUACCAAAAUUAGCUAGACAUGAUGGCUUGGGCCUGUAAUCCCAGCUACUCAGGAGGCUGAGGCAGGAGAAUUGC